RNAcentral lists this ribosomal RNA (461 nucleotides) under uncultured bacterium. Its description in RNAcentral is "bacterial SSU rRNA". It matches the Rfam family "Bacterial small subunit ribosomal RNA", at positions 28 to 372 of the family's 1533-position model. The record is from RNAcentral.
GAUGAACGCUGGCGGCGUGCUUAACACAUGCAAGUCGAGCGGGCAAUUUAUCUAGCACUGAUUACUUCAAAUGGAAAUCAUAAGUGUAAUCAUGAAUUUCUACCUUUAAUAAAGAAAAAGAAAUUCAUGUACGCAAAUAGUGAUAACACAUUUUAGUGAAGUGAUGAGUGCUGGAUAAAUUGCUAGCGGCGGACGGGUGCGUAACACGUGGGUAACCUGCCCCUAUCACUGGGAUAACACACUGAAAAGUGUGCUAAUACCAGAUAAUAUAAGCUUUUGGCAUCAUUAGCUUAUCAAAGAAUUUCGGAUAGGGAUGGGCCCGCGUCUGAUUAGCUAGUUGGUGAGGUAACGGCUCACCAAGGCAACGAUCAGUAGCCGACCUGAGAGGGUGAUCGGCCACACUGGAACUGAGACACGGUCCAGACUCCUACGGGAGGCAGCAGUGGGGAAUAUUGCACAAU